AGCUUUGCACAGGGGUAGUAUCAGAGCCAAUGAGGUUUAUCCAAGGCAUAAUGCAUAAUUAUUGCUAAUUGAAAACUCUUCCCAAUAUUCUACCAUGAUGACUUGCCAAUAUAGUUGGUGUUGGCAAUUUUGGGCAGUGUCUACAGAGA
Small nuclear RNA from Otolemur garnettii (small-eared galago), 149 nucleotides. Its record names the gene U4. It matches the Rfam family "U4 spliceosomal RNA". Rfam says of the family: U4 small nuclear RNA (U4 snRNA) is a component of the major U2-dependent spliceosome. Lineage: Eukaryota; Metazoa; Chordata; Mammalia; Primates; Galagidae. The record is from Ensembl.